RNAcentral lists this small RNA (2791 nucleotides) under Pongo abelii (Sumatran orangutan). Its description in RNAcentral is "processed transcript". The record is from RNAcentral. Lineage: Eukaryota; Metazoa; Chordata; Mammalia; Primates; Hominidae.
GGUACGUGGGCCUCCGGGCUGUCCCCUCCGGGGGCGGCGAUCCUCCCUCCGGAGCCCCCCGCAACCCUCCCGGAAGUGGGCAUUUGCAGGACCAGGGAUGCUGCACUGCUCUCCCAUGAGCCAGUCACCAAGUCUGUCUGCUGCAAGCCCUUUCUGAACCUCUGGCUGUCUGGAUGCUCCACUGUGCUCCUUGCCAAGAUGAAGUGCGUCUUGGUGGCCACUGAGGGUGCAGAGGUCCUCUUCUACUGGACAGAUGAGGAGUUUGAAGAGAGUCUUCGGCUGAAGUUCAGGCAGUCAGAGAAUGAGGAAGAGCUCCCUGCCCUGGAGGACCAGCUCAGCACGCUCCUAGCCCCGGUCAUCAUCUCCUCCAUGACGAUGCUGGAGAAGCUGUCGGACACCUACACCUGCUUCUCCACGGAAAACGGCAACUUCCUGUAUGUCCUUCACCUGUUUGGAGAAUGCCUGUUCAUUGCCAUCAAUGGCGACCACACUGAGAGCGAGGGGGACCUGCGGCGGAAGCUGUAUGUGCUCAAGUACCUGUUCGAAGUGCACGUCGGGCUGGUGACUGUGGACGGUCAGCUUAUCCGAAAGGAGCUGCGGCCCCCAGACCUGGGGCAGCGUGUCCAGCUGUGGGAGCACUUCCAGAGCCUGCUGUGGACCUACAGCCGCCUGCGGGAGCAGGAGCAGUGCUUCGCCGUGGAGGUGACUACUGGGCGUGGGAGUCCUCAGGACUUGAAGCUGUCAGGCCCUGGAGCGACUGAUUCACCCCCAGCUCUGUGAGCUGUGCAUAGAGGCACUGGAGCGGCACGUCAUCCAAGCUGUCAACACCAGCCCCGAGCGGGGCGGCGAGGAGGCCCUGCAUGCCUUCCUGCUUGUGCACUCCAAGCUGCUGGCAUUCUACUCUAGCCACAGUGCCAGCUCCCUGCGCCCGGCCGACCUGCUCGCCCUCAUCCUCCUGGUUCAGGACCUCUACCCUAGCGAGAGCACAGCAGAGGACGACAUUCAGGAGACAGACAGCUUCUCCCUCCCUGAGGAGUACUUCACACCAGCUCCUUCCCCUGGCGAUCAGAGCUCAGGUAGCAUCAUCUGGCUGGAGGGGGGCACCCCACCCAUGGAUGCCCUUCAGAUAGCAGAGGACACCCUCCAAACGCUGGCUCCCCACUGCCCUGAGCCUUCCGGCCCCAGAAGGAUCUUCCUGGAUGCCAACGUGAAGGAAAACUACUGCCCCCUAGUGCCCCACACCAUGUACUGCCUGCCCCUGUGGCAGGGCAUCAACUUGGUGCUUCUGACCAGGAGCCCCAGCGCGCCCCUGGCCCUGGUCCUGUCCCAGCUGAUGGAUGGCUUCUCCAUGCUGGAGAUGAAGCUGAAGGAAGGGCCGGAGGCCGGGGCCUCCCUGCGCUCCCAGCCCUUUGUGGGAGACCUGCGCCAGAGGAUGGACAAGUUUGUCAAGAAUCGAGGGGCACAAGAGAUUCAGAGCACCUGGCUGGAGUUUAAGGCCAAGGCUUUCUCCAAAAGUGAGCCCGGAUCCUCCUGGGAGCUGCUCCAGGCAUGUGGGAAGCUGAAGCGGCAGCUCUGCGCCAUCUACCGGCUGAACUUUCUGACCACAGCCCCCAGCAGGGGAGGCCCACACCUGCCCCAGCACCUGCAGGACCAAGUGCAGAGGCUCAUGAGGGAGAAGCUGACGGACUGGAAGGACUUCGUGCUGGUGAAGAGCAGGAGGAACACCACCAUGGUGUCCUACCUAGAAGACUUCCCAGGCUUGGUGCACUUCAUCUAUGUGGACCGCACCACUGGGCAGAUGGUGGCGCCUUCCCUCAACUGCAGUGAAAAGACCUCGUCGGAGUUGGGCAAGGGGCCGCUGGCUGCCUUUGUCAAAACCAAGGUCUGGUCUCUGAUCCAGCUGGCGCGCAGAUACCUGCAGAAAGGCUACACCACGCUGCUGUUCCAGGAGGGGGAUUUCUACUGCUCCUACUUCCUGUGGUUCGAGAAUGACAUGGGGUACAAACUCCAGAUGAUCGAGGUGCCCAUCCUCUCCGACGACUCAGUGCCUAUUGGCAUGCUGGGAGGAGACUACUACAGGAAGCUUCUGCGCUACUACAGCAAGAACCGCCCAACCGAGGCUGUCAGAUGCUACGAGCUGCUGGCCCUGCACCUGUCUGUCAUCCCCACUGACCUGCUGGUGCAGCAGGCCGGCCAGCUGGCCCGGCGCCUCUGGGAGGCCUCCCGUAUCCCCCUGCUCUAGGCCAAGGUGGCUGCAGUCUGCCUUUGCAUCCUGUCUUCCAGCUGCCCUUGCUUGCCACUGUUACCCAUGACGAGAGCCUCCUGUCUGCAGUGGCUAUCCUGAGGAUGAGGCAGAGUGCCCAGGGUGGCCCCAGGGUUUCUAAAACCCCACCUAGACCACCCUCCAUGUCGGGUACUGAGCAAGGCCCCAGAUCCUUCUCUCUGGAGGAAGAGGGAAGCCCAGGGGUCCUGUUUGUAAAACAACAGUGGCAGCAGCUCCUCUUCCAGAGCUGCCUCUGCCUUUAUCCUGGGAGAUGGGGAGGAAGCCCCAUCUCUGCUGUUCCCUCUGUGGAGGAAGCCCACGCAGCAAGCUCUCUCCUACACCAGGUAAAAGGUGCUCCUUUGCCUGGGUUUGAAUUCCAGCGCUGCCACUUCCUCUCUGCACCUCCUAGCAAGUUUCUUCUAUUCCCCACAUUUAAAGCGAUGGCACCUCCCUCCCAGGGUGGUGUGAGGAUUACCCAAUGUGGUAGGUGCUCAAUAAAUGUUGGUCAGUGUUAUCACUGAAGCCCAA